UACGAAGGGGGCUAGCGUUGUUCGGAAUUACUGGGCGUAAAGCGCGCGCAGGCGGUUCUUCAAGUCAGUGGUGAAAGCCCGGAGCUCAACUCCGGAACUGCCAUUGAAACUGUAGAACUUGAGGAUGAGAGAGGAUAGUGGAAUUCCCAGUGUAGUGGUGAAAUACGUAGAGAUUGGGAAGAACACCAGUGGCGAAGGCGGCUAUCUGGACGGUUUCUGACGCUAAGACGCGAAAGCGUGGGGAGCAAACAGG
This 253-nucleotide ribosomal RNA is filed under the name uncultured bacterium. RNAcentral's name for it is "partial 16S ribosomal RNA". It matches the Rfam family "Bacterial small subunit ribosomal RNA", at positions 524 to 776 of the family's 1533-position model. The record is from RNAcentral.